This 647-nucleotide long non-coding RNA is filed under the name Carica papaya (papaya). RNAcentral describes it as "long non-coding RNA (CPAP_LNC015808)". Lineage: Eukaryota; Viridiplantae; Streptophyta; Magnoliopsida; Brassicales; Caricaceae. The record is from RNAcentral.
GCCUCGCCUUCAAUAAGACUAAGUUAGCCCCUUUUCAUUCCUUAAUCUAAGGCUGGUGGACAGAAAAUUUUCACAAAUCAUUUCAAAUAUAAACAGACCAAAAUAAUAAGAUAAACAUUGGAAUUCCACAAAUGCUUGCAUUCUUCUAAUCCCUAAACUAUGAGAAAGAUUGACCAGGACUUCCAUGCACAUAUCACGGGUAGAACUACCAAAAUAUUUUGUCCAGUCAGCAGGAAGAAAAAUUAGCAAGCACACUCCUCUAUAAAGAAAAGCAAGGCACACCAUUUGAUAAAGAUAGACCUCACUAUCCCAACCAUACAUUUCCAAGAAAUCAAUCAGAGAAAUACCAGUGAAAUAUCUGCGUAACAGUGUACCGUAACAUGGUUGAUGGCUACAUUAACUUGUAAUCACCAUGAAACUAAGAAACUCAUAAUAAUUGUGGAAAAAUUAUCUUAGGUAACUGUCGGAAAAGGUUCUCACAUUUGCUGGGUUCCAAAGAAGUAAACCAGCACUUUUUUCCAGUCAGCUGGAUAACCCCAUUUUUCUGGCUCGCUUACCUGCAAUUAACAGCUGGAAUGAUAAGCCCAACAAGCAACCUAUUCCACCUAACUAAACUACAGGAAAAUAUAAUGAAAGGUCGGAAAUUC